GACGAACGCUGGCGGCGUGCUUAACACAUGCAAGUCGAACGAUGAAGCCUAGCUUGCUAGGUGGAUUAGUGGCGAACGGGUGAGUAAUACGUGAGUAACCUACCUUUAACUCUGGGAUAAGCCUGGGAAACUGGGUCUAAUACCGGAUACGACCAAUCUCCGCAUGGGGUGUUGGUGGAAAGCGUUAUGUAGUGGUUAUAGAUGGGCUCACGGCCUAUCAGCUUGUUGGUGAGGUAACGGCUCACCAAGGCGACGACGGGUAGCCGGCCUGAGAGGGUGACCGGCCACACUGGGACUGAGACACGGCCCAGACUCCUACGGGAGGCAGCAGUGGGGAAUAUUGCACAAUGGGCGCAAGCCUGGUGCAGCGACGCCGCGUGAGGGAUGACGGCCUUCGGGUUGUAAACCUCUGUUAGCAGGGAAGAAGAGAGAUUGACGGUACCUGCAGAGAAAGCGCCGGCUAACUACGUGCCAGCAGCCGCGGUAAUACGUAGGGCGCGAGCGUUGUCCGGAAUUAUUGGGCGUAAAGAGCUUGUAGGGCGGUUUGUCGCGUCUGCUGUGAAAGGCCGGAGCUUAACUCCGUGUAUUGCAGUGGGUACGGGCAGACUAGAGUGCAGUAGGGGAGACUGGAAUUCCUGGUGUAGCGGUGGAAUGCGCAGAUAUCAGGAGGAACACCGAUGGCGAAGGCAGGUCUCUGGGCUGUAACUGACGCUGAGAAGCGAAAGCAUGGGGAGCGAACAGGAUUAGAUACCCUGGUAGUCCAUGCCGUAAACGUUGGGCACUAGGUGUGGGGAACAUUCCACGUUUUCCGCGCCGUAGCUAACGCAUUAAGUGCCCCGCCUGGGGAGUACGGCCGCAAGGCUAAAACUCAAAGAAAUUGACGGGGGCCCGCACAAGCGGCGGAGCAUGCGGAUUAAUUCGAUGCAACGCGAAGAACCUUACCAAGGCUUGACAUAUACUGGACCGCAUCAGAGAUGGUGUUUCCCUUCGGGGCUGGUAUACAGGUGGUGCAUGGUUGUCGUCAGCUCGUGUCGUGAGAUGUUGGGUUAAGUCCCGCAACGAGCGCAACCCUCGUUCUAUGUUGCCAGCACGUUAUGGUGGGGACUCAUAGGAGACUGCCGGGGUCAACUCGGAGGAAGGUGGGGAUGACGUCAAAUCAUCAUGCCCCUUAUGUCUUGGGCUUCACGCAUGCUACAAUGGCCGGUACAGAGGGUUGCGAUACUGUGAGGUGGAGCUAAUCCCUAAAAGCCGGUCUCAGUUCGGAUUGGGGUCUGCAACUCGACCCCAUGAGGUCGGAGUCGCUAGUAAUCGCAGAUCAGCAACGCUGCGGUGAAUACGUUCCCGGGCCU
RNAcentral lists this ribosomal RNA (1349 nucleotides) under uncultured bacterium. RNAcentral describes it as "bacterial SSU rRNA". It matches the Rfam family "Bacterial small subunit ribosomal RNA", at positions 28 to 1381 of the family's 1533-position model. The record is from RNAcentral.